AUGAUGGCUUCGGGGACUGUGGGGUCAUCCAGAACCACAAUGCCGUCUUGAAAGAGAUGGUUGGGUCGGUGGCAACAAGGUCAGGGUUGUUGAGGAGGUCAGAGUUAAUGGCCUGUCCUGCUGGGCCGUAAUUGUAAUUGUAGGAAAUUUGGAUGGGGCCUCGGCCGUAAUAGUACUUGCCGGCAGCGCAGGGCCACUGCGUGCUCUGAACACAGUAGUUCGGAGGGUUUCCUUGCUCCUGUUUGAAACAGUAGCCCCAAGCGUAUUGCCCGUCCGGUGCAGUCGACCACCCACCAGUGGUUUCGUGGGAGGUCUGAGCCAAGAAAGCAGCUAUCUCCCUUUUCUGAGUGUCGGCAUCCCCG
RNAcentral lists this unclassified non-coding RNA (362 nucleotides) under Hevea brasiliensis (rubber tree). Lineage: Eukaryota; Viridiplantae; Streptophyta; Magnoliopsida; Malpighiales; Euphorbiaceae. The record is from RNAcentral.